UGGGGAAUAUUGGACAAUGGGCGAAAGCCUGAUCCAGCCAUGCCGCGUGUGUGAAGAAGGUCUUCGGAUUGUAAAGCACUUUAAGUUGGGAGGAAGGGCAGUAAGCGAAUACCUUGCUGUUUUGACGUUACCGACAGAAUAAGCACCGGCUAACUCUGUGCCAGCAGCCGCGGUAAUACAGAGGGUGCAAGCGUUAAUCGGAAUUACUGGGCGUAAAGCGCGCGUAGGUGGUUCGUUAAGUUGAAUGUGAAAGCCCCGGGCUCAACCUGGGAACUGCAUCCAAAACUGGCGAGCUAGAGUAGGGCAGAGGGUGGUGGAAUUUCCUGUGUAGCGGUGAAAUGCGUAGAUAUAGGAAGGAACACCAGUGGCGAAGGCGACCACCUGGGCUGAUACUGACACUGAGGUGCGAAAGCGUGGGGAGCAAACAGG
RNAcentral lists this ribosomal RNA (429 nucleotides) under Pseudomonadota bacterium. RNAcentral describes it as "Proteobacteria bacterium partial 16S ribosomal RNA". It matches the Rfam family "Bacterial small subunit ribosomal RNA", at positions 355 to 776 of the family's 1533-position model. Lineage: Bacteria; Pseudomonadati; Pseudomonadota. The record is from RNAcentral.